UAUAGCCGAGAGGUGAAAGAUUUAUCGCUGCAAGACGAGCCCAUGCAGGAUUAGCUAGUUGGUGGGGGUAAUAGGGCUCACCCAAGGGCAAACGAUCUUAAGUUGGUCUGAGAGGAUGAUCAGCCACACUGGAAACUGAGACACGGUCCAGACUCCUACGGGAGGCAGCAGUGGGGAAUAUUGGACAAUGGGCGUAAGCCUGAUCCAGCGACGCCGCGUGAGUGAAGAAGGCCCUUCGGGUUGUAAAGUUCUUUUAGUGGGGAAGAUAAUGACGGUACCCACAGAAAAAGCCCCGGCUAACUCGUGC
This 307-nucleotide ribosomal RNA is filed under the name uncultured Devosia sp. RNAcentral describes it as "bacterial SSU rRNA". It matches the Rfam family "Bacterial small subunit ribosomal RNA", at positions 188 to 508 of the family's 1533-position model. The record is from RNAcentral. Lineage: Bacteria; Pseudomonadati; Pseudomonadota; Alphaproteobacteria; Hyphomicrobiales; Devosiaceae.